CAGCAGCCACGGGAAUACGAAGGGGGCUAGCGUUGCUCGGAAUGACUGGGCGUAAAGGGCGCGUAGGCGGAUUGCGCAGUCAGAUGUGAAAUUCCUGGGCUUAACCUGGGGGCUGCAUUUGAGACGCGUAGUCUAGAGUGUGAAAGAGGGUCGUGGAAUUCCCAGUGUAGAGGUGAAAUUCGUAGAUAUUCGGAAGAACACCAGUGGCGAAGGCGGCUCACUGGCUCAUACUGGACGCUGAGGUGCGAAAGCGUGGGGAGCAAACAGGAUUAGAUACCCCCGUAGUCCCUGUCUCUUAUAC
Molecule: ribosomal RNA, 301 nt
Filed under: uncultured bacterium
Lineage: Bacteria
Description: partial 16S ribosomal RNA
Rfam family: Bacterial small subunit ribosomal RNA
Source: RNAcentral